CAGUCGCCACGGGAAUACGGAGGGUGCAAGCGUUAAUCGGAAUUACUGGGCGUAAAGCGCACGCAGGCGGUCUGACAAGUCAGAUGUGAAAUCCCCGGGCUUAACCUGGGAACUGCAUUUGAAACUGUCAGGCUGGAGUCUUGUAGAGGGGGGUGGAAUUCCAGGUGUAGCGGUGAAAUGCGUAGAGAUCUGGAGGAAUACCGGUGGCGAAGGCGGCCCCCUGGACAAAGACUGACGCUCAGGUGCGAAAGCGUGGGGAGCAAACAGGAUUAGAUACCCCGGUAGUCCCUGUCCUUAUACA
Molecule: ribosomal RNA, 301 nt
Filed under: uncultured bacterium
Lineage: Bacteria
Description: partial 16S ribosomal RNA
Rfam family: Bacterial small subunit ribosomal RNA
Source: RNAcentral